UGACAUGCACCAAAUCGAGAGAUAGAUAUCCAACGACCAAAAUUGUAAUUUUACCUACAAAAUAGCAAAAAUGAGAUUGAGACUUGAGAGGACAUAAGUGUAACAGUGGGCAAAGCAAGGUGCAUAUUGAAAUAUAGGUGCAUCAAUCCCAAAAAAUAAUGUAGAAAAAAGGGGGAAAGAGGAAGACUUGAAAAUACCAAGCUCGGGAAUCUGGAAUCUCCCUCUUGCAUCGUCUGUCGACUGAAGAUUUAGCUAGAUUUCCAGGUCCUGAAGAAUCAGGUAUCUGGUGUACUGAGUUGAAUCAUUUAUAUUCAUACUGCGCAUCGACUGCACACUAUAUUCUUUGGUGUUGGAUACAGUAUGUGGAAGGCAGUUCAUGAGAAUGUCUUGAAAGAUGAUUUUUUGGUGGAUGACGAAGGUCUCCAGUCAGAUGAGCAUCAUUUGAAUUUUCAUGAUCAGGAAUGCAUUGGGAAGAUAAAGGAGUUGCAGUUUUAUCUGGACACGGUGGAAAAAGUUGUGAAACCAGGUUGCUCACAAGAAUUGCUGAAUGUGGCCUUGACUUCCUUAUCCUCUCUUGUAAAAACCUUAUCCAUUAUAUCUUCUGGACCCUGUCUGCUUGCCUCACUAUGAACAAAAUAAUCAGAAGAUCUGAUGAUGCAGUUUAAUUUCAGAAACUUUGAAAUGUUGUUUGGGUGUCUAUUUCUUCUCUCACGUCAUCUCCAGGUGGGUGACAAGAUACAUAAAUCGUGUAUAGCAGAUGAUACAUUUCUGGAGGAGCACCGCGUAAAGCUGAGGCGAAAACAAUGUCACCAUUCCUUUUUCCGCUUGCACAUGAAAUCUCAUUUGUCAAGUGUAGGACAGCCUUGUUUGUCAACUCUAGCACCAGUUUUCUGGAAUAAGGUUUGCAGGUUAGUCGGUUCAUCUGGUCUUCUGAGCAUCAUGGGAAUAAUGUAGUCAAGAAGCACAAGAUUUCUCAAGAUAGUCUCAGUUUCAUCGAUCCUAGGACAGCCUUCUUGGUUCUUUGUCAACUGUGGCACCGGUUGUCAGGAACAAAGUUGGCAGGCUGGUGGGUUACCCUAGUCUUGUAAACAUCAUGAUACUAAGUAGCCAAGAAGCGCAAGGUUUCUCAGAGAUAGAUUCAUUAACUGGUUUACUGGCUAGAUCUCCAAUUUAAUCAUUUGGCAAGGCAAGAUCAGUAAUGCCUCUUUUGCUAAUGAUUUCUUCUAUCACAUUUGUCUUCAUCAGAAGGUACAUUGAAGGUACGUACUUAAAUUUGGGUCUCCCUCAAGAAUGGUUGUGAUAUUACAUUUUUGUCAGGUCAUUCCUGGGGAUGAAUAUAGCCAUCGUUGUGGAGUCUUUUGAGUUGGAGAGCUUUGUUUUCUAUCUUCUGAAAAUGAUAAAGAUUGAACAUACCCACUCAGAACAUGAGAAUAGGACCCGAACAAGUGGAGGAGUUCUUUCAGGUUUCAACCAAUGUCCAAGUCCAAGCAGUCUAUCCCCUUCUUUAAUAACCAUUUGUAGAAUCCAGGGUGACACAAUUUUUUGACCCGAAUAAGAAUAUUUGAGGUUGAAUCUGAAAGAGUUUGUUUGCAGUUUACCAAAACCCUAUGCAACUGUAAAAGUAGCGUUGAAAACGCAAAAGUGUAAUUAAAUUGCAUUAGACCUCCACGAACUUUGGAGAAAGUUGUACUUUGCUCCCCUCAACUUUCUGACUUUACCCCCAUUUAAUAACAUUCCUUGACUAGAAUUCCAUCA
Long non-coding RNA from Coffea arabica (coffee), 1755 nucleotides. RefSeq lists it as uncharacterized. The record is from RefSeq and is a predicted model, not a curated record. Lineage: Eukaryota; Viridiplantae; Streptophyta; Magnoliopsida; Gentianales; Rubiaceae.